RNAcentral lists this ribosomal RNA (253 nucleotides) under uncultured bacterium. RNAcentral's name for it is "partial 16S ribosomal RNA". It matches the Rfam family "Bacterial small subunit ribosomal RNA", at positions 524 to 776 of the family's 1533-position model. The record is from RNAcentral.
UACGUAGGGGGCGAGCGUUGUCCGGAAUUAUUGGGCGUAAAGCGCGCGCAGGCGGCCGAUUAAGUCAGGUGUGAAAGGCUGCGGCUCAACCGCAGAGUUGCAUCUGAAACUGGUCGGCUUGAGUGCAGGAGAGGGGAGCGGAAUUCCCGGUGUAGCGGUGGAAUGCGUAGAGAUCGGGAGGAACACCAGUGGCGAAGGCGGCUCUCUGGCCUGUAACUGACGCUGAGGCGCGAAAGCGUGGGGAGCGAACAGG